GAUGAAGAACGUAGUGAACCGCGAUAUUUUUUGUGACUUGCAGAUGUGAAUCAUCAAUCUUUGAACGCACAUUGCGCGGUGUGGCAUUCCGCACCGCACGGAUGGACGAGCGUGUUCCCUCUGGGAUCGCAUUGCUUUUCUGAAAUGAAUGAAUUACUUCAAUACACUCUUUUCACCUCGUUCAUCCGAGACUACCCGCUGAACUUAAGCAUAUCAAUAAGCGGAGGA
RNAcentral lists this unclassified non-coding RNA (228 nucleotides) under soil metagenome. RNAcentral's name for it is "partial contains 5.8S ribosomal RNA, internal transcribed spacer 2, and large subunit ribosomal RNA". The stretch from base 1 to 115 matches the Rfam family "5.8S ribosomal RNA", at positions 35 to 154 of the family's 154-position model. From Rfam's summary of the family: 5.8S ribosomal RNA (5.8S rRNA) is a component of the large subunit of the eukaryotic ribosome. It is transcribed by RNA polymerase I as part of the 45S precursor that also contains 18S and 28S rRNA. Functionally, it is thought that 5.8S rRNA may be involved in ribosome translocation. The record is from RNAcentral.